RNAcentral lists this ribosomal RNA (406 nucleotides) under uncultured bacterium. RNAcentral describes it as "partial 16S ribosomal RNA". It matches the Rfam family "Bacterial small subunit ribosomal RNA", at positions 30 to 525 of the family's 1533-position model. The record is from RNAcentral.
AUUGAACGCUGGCGGCAGGCCUAACACAUGCAAGUCGAGCGGAGCGGCGGACGGGUGAGUAAUGCCUAGGAAUCUGCCUGGUAGUGGGGGAUAACGUCCGGAAACGGGCGCUAAUACCGCAUACUAUCAGAUAACCAUAGGUCGGAGUAGCUAGUGGGGGGGGUAAAGGCCUACAAAGGCGACGAUCCGUAACUGGUCGGAGAGGAUGAUCAGUCACACUGGAACUGAGACACGGUCCAUACUCUUACGGGAGGUAGCAGGGGGGAAUAUGGGACAAUGGGCGAAAGCCUGAUCCAGCCAUGCCGCGUGUGUGAAGAAGGUCUUCGGAUUGUAAAGCACGUUAAGUUGGGAGGCGGUACCUAACGAAUAAGCACCGGCUAACUCCGUGCCAGCAGCCGCGGUAAUU